UCGCUUCGGCAGCACUUAGACUAAAAUUGGAACAAUAUAGAGAAGAUUAGAAUGGCCCCUGCACAAGGAUGACACGCAAAUUUGUGAAGCGUUCCAUAUUUAA
Small nuclear RNA from Gorilla gorilla gorilla (western lowland gorilla), 103 nucleotides. NCBI's taxonomy places the organism in Eukaryota, Metazoa, Chordata, Mammalia, Primates, Hominidae. The record is from Ensembl.